GCCCCUUUGGAUCUUUUUGCGGUCUGGGCUUGCUGUUCCUCUCUACAGUAGUCAGGAAGCCCUUACCCCAAAAAGUAUCUGCGGGAGGCC
Non-coding RNA from Sus scrofa (pig), 90 nucleotides. Lineage: Eukaryota; Metazoa; Chordata; Mammalia; Artiodactyla; Suidae. The record is from Rfam.